UCCCUGGUGGUCCAGGGGUUAAGACUCCGAGUUCCCAAUGCAGGGAGCCCGGGUUCGAUCCCUGGUCAGGGAA
This 73-nucleotide transfer RNA is filed under the name Capra hircus (goat). It matches the Rfam family "tRNA". From Rfam's summary of the family: Transfer RNA (tRNA) molecules are approximately 80 nucleotides in length. Their secondary structure includes four short double-helical elements and three loops (D, anti-codon, and T loops). The record is from Rfam by way of RNAcentral. RNAcentral also lists the same sequence under 1 other name. Lineage: Eukaryota; Metazoa; Chordata; Mammalia; Artiodactyla; Bovidae.